GCAAGUCGAACGAGGUCCAUCCGAUCUUCGGAUUGGUGAAGACCUAGUGGCGAACGGGUGCGUAACACGUGAGAAACCUGCCCCGGUCUCUGGAAUAACAGUUGGAAACGACUGCUAAUACCGGAUGCCGUCGGACCAUCGCAUGAUGGAUCGACGAAAGGGUUACCGGACCGGGAGGGUCUCGCGGCCUAUCAGCUUGUUGGUGAGGUAAUGGCUCACCAAGGCGACGAUCUGUAGCUGGUCUGAGAGGAUGAUC
RNAcentral lists this ribosomal RNA (256 nucleotides) under uncultured bacterium. RNAcentral's name for it is "partial 16S ribosomal RNA". It matches the Rfam family "Bacterial small subunit ribosomal RNA", at positions 57 to 305 of the family's 1533-position model. The record is from RNAcentral.